AAAUUGAAGAGUUUGAUCAUGGCUCAGAUUGAACGCUGGCGGCAGGCCUAACACAUGCAAGUCGAACGGUAACAGGAAGCAGCUUGCUGCUUCGCUGACGAGUGGCGGACGGGUGAGUAAUGUCUGGGAAACUGCCUGAUGGAGGGGGAUAA
Molecule: ribosomal RNA, 152 nt
Filed under: Escherichia coli
Lineage: Bacteria; Pseudomonadati; Pseudomonadota; Gammaproteobacteria; Enterobacterales; Enterobacteriaceae
Also listed under: 15 other names
Description: partial 16S ribosomal RNA
Rfam family: Bacterial small subunit ribosomal RNA
Source: RNAcentral